GACAACUAGGAUGUUGGCUUAGAAGCAGCCAUCAUUUAAAGAGUGCGUAAUAGCUCACUAGUCGAGUGACACUGCGCCGAAAAUGUACCGGGGCUAAACAUAUUACCGAAGCUGUGGAUUGUCCUUUGGACAAUGGUAGGAGAGCGUUCUAAGGGCGUUGAAGCAUGAUCGUAAGGACAUGUGGAGCGCUUAGAAGUGAGAAUGCCGGUGUGAGUAGCGAAAGACGGGUGAGAAUCCCGUCCACCGAUUGACUAAGGUUUCCAGAGGAAGGCUCGUCCGCUCUGGGUUAGUCGGGUCCUAAGCUGAGGCCGACAGGCGUAGGCGAUGGAUAACAGGUUGAUAUUCCUGUACCACCUAUAAUCGUUUUAAUCGAUGGGGGGACGCAGUAGGAUAGGCGAAGCGUGCGAUUGGAUUGCACGUCUAAGCAGUAAGGCUGAGUAUUAGGCAAAUCCGGUACUCGUUAAGGCUGAGC
Molecule: ribosomal RNA, 472 nt
Filed under: Staphylococcus aureus
Lineage: Bacteria; Bacillati; Bacillota; Bacilli; Caryophanales; Staphylococcaceae
Description: partial 23S ribosomal RNA
Rfam family: Bacterial large subunit ribosomal RNA
Source: RNAcentral